RNAcentral lists this ribosomal RNA (893 nucleotides) under uncultured archaeon. Its description in RNAcentral is "bacterial SSU rRNA". It matches the Rfam family "Archaeal small subunit ribosomal RNA", at positions 1 to 874 of the family's 1478-position model. The record is from RNAcentral.
UUCCGGUUGAUCCUGCCGGACCUCACUGCUAUCGGGGUGGGACUAAGCCAUGCUAGUCGAGCGCCUUGAGCUAUGUCGAGGCGCGGCGUACAGUUGAGUAACACGUAGUUAACCUGCCCUCGGGACGGGGACAACCCCGGGAAACUGGGGCUAAUCCCCGAUGGGUGAGGAGGCCUGGAAUGGUUCUUCACCGAAAGGGUGUUGAAGCAUGCUUUCAACCUUGCCUGAGGAUGGGACUACGUCCGAUCAGGUUGUUGGUGAGGUAACGGCUCACCAAGCCUUGACCGGUACGGGCCGUGAGAGCGGGAGCCCGGAGAUGGAAUCUGAGACAAAAUUCCAGGCCCUACGGGGCGCAGCAGGCGCGAAACCUCCACAAUGCACGAAAGUGUGAUGGGGCUACCCCGAGUGCCGUCCGCUGAGGACGGCUUUUCUCCAGUGUAAUGAGCUGGAGGCAAUAAAGGGAGGGCAAGGAUGGUGUCAGCCGCCGCGGUAAAACCAACUCCCUGAGUGGUGGGGACGAUUAUUGGGCUUAAAGCGUUCGUAGCCGGCCUGGUUAGUCCCGCGUUAAAUCCAGCGACCUAAUCGUUGGGCUGCGGGGGAUACGGUCAGGCUUGGGAGCGGGAGAGGUUGGCGGUACUCCAGGGGUAGGGGUGAAAUCCAGUAAUCCCUGGUGGACCACCAGUGGCGAAGGCUGCUAACCCGAACGCGUCCGACGGUGAUGGACGAAAGCUGGGGUAGCGAACCGGAUUAGAUACCCGGGUAGUCCCAGCCGUAAACGAUGCGGGCUAGCUGUUGGGAUGGCUACGAGCCAUCUCAGUGGCGCAGGGAAACCGUUAAGCCCGCCGCCUGGGAAGUAUGAUCGCAAGAUUGAAACUUAAAGGAAUUGGCGGGGG